This 103-nucleotide small nuclear RNA is filed under the name Mus spretus (western wild mouse). The record is from RNAcentral. Lineage: Eukaryota; Metazoa; Chordata; Mammalia; Rodentia; Muridae.
UCCCCUUGGCAGCACAUAUACUAAAAUUGGAAUGAUACAGAGAAGAUUAACAUGGCCCCUGCACAAGGAUAACACACAAAUUCGUGAAGCGUUUCAUAUUUUU